This 2158-nucleotide long non-coding RNA is filed under the name Malus domestica (apple). RNAcentral describes it as "long non-coding RNA (MDOM_LNC017260)". The record is from RNAcentral. Lineage: Eukaryota; Viridiplantae; Streptophyta; Magnoliopsida; Rosales; Rosaceae.
CCCAUUCAGGAUGACCUGCAACCGUUGCAGCCUCCUUAAACUCUGCUUGGAGAUACUUGUCAUAGCACUGCAAUAUGGAAUAGGUAAUGUGCUUAAAACUUAAACCUGCUUAAUAUUUCCAGUAAGCCAUAGGAUUGUCAAAUUAAUAAAUCAGUCCCACCUGAAAUUCUCCAAUCCCUGGAAAAGCCCAUCCUUGACUUUCCGGAUAAGAGGGGUACCUGAGCUCUCCUGCAGGGCCAAGCCCUACUUCAAUGUCUAUAAUAAGUCCGGUUUCUAGAAAAUCCGACAUGUUCUCUCUGAAGCUUUUCAUGUAAUCGCUGUAUAUCUGUAUAACAGAACGAUUAACGAUGUAACCUUGAUAAAAUGAACGCUAGCUGAUGGCAUGAACAUUUUACAUGUUGAAAUCUUGUGAACCUUACCUCCACAGCAGUUCGUCCGUCAAAGAGACGCAGGUUAUCCACACCUAGAGUGAGGUAUUCCGGGUUCCUGUUACCUUUGAGAUUGGUAUAAAAGAUAUCGGGGUCUGAUUCUCCGAUCUCAAGUACCCAUUUGGAAAUGGGGAUUGUUACAACAUCUCCUACAUUCUUGAACUGAUUGAAACACGCUCCUAUAAGCACUCCAAUCAUACUGCUUAGGCCCUUUGGAUUCUAUGAUCCCCCACCACACAUCUAUCAUAACCCUAUCAACACCUGCCGCUCAUAGCUCCUUCAGAUCCUUCACGAGUUUGUCUCUGUCUUCCAAAACAUUGUCAACCGUAACAAAUCCCAACUGGUACGAAGACAAACCCAAAAAGAAAAAUUAGAACUUUUUGUGAUGAUCAUUAUAUUUCAAACUAUAAUGCAUACAUAAUGCUAGUGAAAGGAAGAAUUAUGACUUACAGGGAGCAUCACGAAGAUCGGCACAUAAUUUUUUAGCAUCGUUUCUUGAUAACUAAGAGAAGUUGCCACCUGCAUUGUUGUGUAAGAGAAGAUCUUUUAGGGUUUGAUUUCUCUAAAACGAUGGAGUUUAUGCAGUUUUACUACUCCAGCCUGCUGCCUUUUAUAGAACAUAUAUCACUAUCUUGAUGACCAAAAAAAGAGAUAAGCACUUCUUCUGCUGCACCUUAUCUUUGCACAAAUUAUUGGUAGCCCCAAUGGGGGGUCAUUUAUCAUCUAAAAUCCACAUGCUUAUUUUGUUUGCAUUCUUAUCUGCUAUUUGGACCACCUCUGAGAGUCUGAUACCAUAUAUAGCCCUCAAACAACUUUACAAAACUAGGUCAUAGAUGCAUCAUACAAGGAGCAUUAAGGUCAUUGAACUUACCUACAGCAUCAUUAAUCUUACAGUGAAAACAUAAACUUGCCCUCCUUUCAGCACAUGUUCUAGGCUUUUUAAAGAUUCAAACUCAUGGAUUGUUUUUUUGUUUGGUCAAUAUUUCAAACACAUGCUUCUUGUGUCUGUUUCAUGACAAAAACUUAUUUAUGCCAUGCGGCAGUAUCUCAAACCAACCACGCACUUUCUUACACGAGUUAUUGACUUAAGAUACCGUCACAAUAACCCCUUAAUAAGGAAGUUCUUCUCUUGUUGCAGCCCUUAAGAUUUUUAUGAAAGAAUUUGUAGAUGAGAAGAUUGUGAGGAAGUCAUUUACCUUUCGUUCUGUGGUGGAAAUUUCAGAUGCAACAGCUCGAGGACUUUGGAUUACACUGCAGGAGCGGAAAGCUGGGGCUGAACUGGUUCGUUGCCUCCAUACUCUACUUGCUCCCUCUGCACUCUCGAGCACGUUUGAAAGUGGAACAUGCGGGCAGAAGAAGCACCUACUGUGAUAAGCAGUUACUUUCUCUCCCAAACCACUGAGAGCUGUGCUUGUUGUCAUGGGGACUAUACGUAACGACGAUGCUACCACGCUGUAAUAUUAUGGAGCAGAAAAGAGUCCGUGCGACAUGAAGCGUGAUGUAGUAUGAAAACUCUGGUUUCUUGUUGCCUGCAUUGAUAUAUAGGUUAUGGUAAUGGAAGAUUUUCUAGAGAGUUUUGGUUGGAGAGGAAAAGAGAAGACGGUGGCCACAUUAUUUUCUGGCCAUGCUUAUUGUUGUCUUCUCCAUUUUUUGUGGACUUGAGAGCAUCUGUUCAAAGAUAGAAACAAAAAAUGCAUCCGAACAAGAAAAUAUUGUAUUCCUUUGAAAAG